Anopheles merus is the source of this 46-nucleotide non-coding RNA. NCBI's taxonomy places the organism in Eukaryota, Metazoa, Arthropoda, Insecta, Diptera, Culicidae. The record is from Rfam.
CGCCUGGAUCUUUUAGGAUCCAUCAACAAUAAAAAAGUAAUUUUCG